RNAcentral lists this ribosomal RNA (301 nucleotides) under uncultured bacterium. RNAcentral's name for it is "partial 16S ribosomal RNA". It matches the Rfam family "Bacterial small subunit ribosomal RNA", at positions 509 to 807 of the family's 1533-position model. The record is from RNAcentral.
CAGUAGCCGCGGGAAUACGUAGGUGGCAAGCGUUGUCCGGAAUUAUUGGGCGUAAAGGGCUCGCAGGCGGCUUCUUAAGUCUGAUGUGAAAGCCCCCGGCUCAACCGGGGAGGGUCAUUGGAAACUGGGAAACUUGAGUGCAGAAGAGGAGAGUGGAAUUCCACGUGUAGCGGUGAAAUGUGUAGAGAUGUGGAGGAACACCAGUGGCGAAGGCGACUCUCUGGUCUGUAACUGACGCUGAGGAGCGAAAGCGUGGGGAGCGAACAGGAUUAGAUACCCGAGUAGUCCCUGUCUCUUAUAC